AUUGAACGCUGGCGGCAGGCCUAACACAUGCAAGUCGAACGGUAACAGGAAACAGCUUGCUGUUUCGCUGACGAGUGGCGGACGGGUGAGUAAUGUCUGGGAAACUGCCUGAUGGAGGGGGAUAACUACUGGAAACGGUAGCUAAUACCGCAUAACGUCGCAAGACCAAAGAGGGGGACCCUCGGGCCUCUUGCCAUCGGAUGUGCCCAGAUGGGAUUAGCUUGUUGGUGGGGUAACGGCUCACCAAGGCGACGAUCCCUAGCUGGUCUGAGAGGAUGACCAGCCACACUGGAACUGAGACACGGUCCAGACUCCUACGGGAGGCAGCAGUGGGGAAUAUUGCACAAUGGGCGCAAGCCUGAUGCAGCCAUGCCGCGUGUAUGAAGAAGGCCUUCGGGUUGUAAAGUACUUUCAGCGGGGAGGAAGGGAGUAAAGUUAAUACCUUUGCUCAUUGACGUUACCCGCAGAAGCAGCACCGGCUAACUCCGUG
This 490-nucleotide ribosomal RNA is filed under the name uncultured bacterium. RNAcentral describes it as "partial 16S ribosomal RNA". It matches the Rfam family "Bacterial small subunit ribosomal RNA", at positions 30 to 507 of the family's 1533-position model. The record is from RNAcentral.